UACGAAGGGGGCUAGCGUUGUUCGGAAUUACUGGGCGUAAAGCGCACGUAGGCGGACUAUUAAGUCAGGGGUGAAAUCCCGGGGCUCAACCCCGGAACUGCCUGCCAGACUGUGAGGCUUGAGACCGGGAGAGGUGAGUGGAAUUCCCAGUGUAGCGGUGAAAUGCGUAGAUAUUGGGAGGAACACCAGUGGCGAAGGCGGCUCACUGGACCGGAACUGACGCUGAGGCGCGAAAGCGUGGGGAGCAAACAGGG
This 254-nucleotide ribosomal RNA is filed under the name uncultured bacterium. RNAcentral describes it as "partial 16S ribosomal RNA". It matches the Rfam family "Bacterial small subunit ribosomal RNA", at positions 524 to 777 of the family's 1533-position model. The record is from RNAcentral.